Dromiciops gliroides (monito del monte) is the source of this 190-nucleotide long non-coding RNA. RefSeq lists it as uncharacterized. The record is from RefSeq and is a predicted model, not a curated record. The transcript is spliced from 3 exons. Lineage: Eukaryota; Metazoa; Chordata; Mammalia; Microbiotheria; Microbiotheriidae.
AGAUAAAGACAUGUCACACGUAGAAAUAUUCAUGCUAAUGCAACUUGAAUCCCAGAGGAUGCCAUCACCCAAAUGGUCUCUGAGGAGAAGAAGGAUGGAUCUGGUCUUGUGUACCUUUCUAGAAUCAGAGGCUAUGUGUUCCUGUUCUUGCUCCCAUGAAUCUGAAAACUCUGGCUGUGAUGUUUGAUGG